This is a long non-coding RNA of Bos taurus (domestic cattle), 1325 nucleotides long. The record is from Ensembl. Lineage: Eukaryota; Metazoa; Chordata; Mammalia; Artiodactyla; Bovidae.
CACCUACAGAGAGGCAAGUAGAACUCCUUGUUCCUUUCCUAAAGAUCUGCAAUAACAGAUUAAUAAUAGCCUCAGCCUGUGAAUCCUGUUUCUGUAUCUGAUUGACUCAGGAGUCUCCUUUGAUAACCACAUGCCUGCAGAUGGUACUGUUCUGAGAAGAUCAUCAGCCUUAUCUGAGGACCUGCACUCUGGUCCUCAUACAGGUAACACCUGUACUCUGUCUCUGUGACUAGGCAGGGGUUUUAACAUCUUCAUCCUGGAAAAUUGGAGUCCUUCCCAUGGAAUGUGUGUGUUGAGCUUAGCAGAGACAGCCCUUUCCACUCUGGAGGUAAGACUGGGAAAAUUUGAGUCCAGAGCCCUCUGCUGCCUCUGGGCCCACUGCCUGUCCAAACACACCUGCAGGAGGAAAGAAGGACCUUGUUACAAACAAGAGAAGAAGAGGAGAUCAAAGCAGCUGCAUCAUCUCAUUAACCUUCACCCCCAGAGAAGAUGGCAAGGAAAACUUAGAAACAAACAAAAUCAAGCCACUCUUCCUGCCUUCAGUGGAGCUUCAAACCAGAGGAUGUUACCUGGAACACACUGGAGAGUCAUAACCUUGGAGGCAAGAACACUGGAAUGGGGUGCCAUGCCCACCUCCAUAGGAUCUUCCUGACCCAGGAAUCCAACUGGUAUCUCUUCUUCAUUGGCAAGUGGCUUCUUUACCACUAGCGCCACCUAGUGUCAUAAUAAAUGGAUGAUCAUUGCUUUACCGACAAAGGUCCGUCUAGUCAAGGCUAUGGUUUUUCCAGUAGUCAUGUAUGGAUGUGAGAGUUGGACUAUAAAGCAAGCUGAGCGCUGAAGAAUUGAUGCUUUUGAACUGUGGUGUUGGAGAACACUCUUGAGAGUCCCUUGGACUGCAAGGAGAUCCAACCAGUCCAUCCUAAAGGAAAUCAGUCCUGAAUAUUCACUGGAAGGACUGAUGCUGAAGCUGAAGCUCCAAUACUUUGGCCACCUGAUGUGAAGAGCUGACUCAUUUGAAAAGACUUUGAUGCUGGUAAAGAUCGAAGGCAGGAGGAGAAGGGGACAACAGAGGAUGAGAUGGUUGCAUGGCAUCACCGACUUGAUGGACCUAAGUUUGAGCAAGCUCUGGAAGUUGGUGAUGGAACAGGAAAGGCUGGUGUGCUGCAUUCCAUGGGGUCACAAAGAGUCGGACACAACUGAGAGACUGAUCUGAACUAACCAGGGUAGAGCCGGUUAUAGUUGUGCUAAACAUUUGAACUCGAAUGGUCUCUGAUUGUUGUUGUUCAGUUGCUCAGUUGUGUCUGACCCUUUGCAACCCCAUAAAC